This 460-nucleotide ribosomal RNA is filed under the name uncultured bacterium. Its description in RNAcentral is "partial 16S ribosomal RNA". It matches the Rfam family "Bacterial small subunit ribosomal RNA", at positions 338 to 795 of the family's 1533-position model. The record is from RNAcentral.
CCUACGGGAGGCAGCAGUGAGGAAUAUUGGUCAAUGGGCUUACGCCUGAACCAGCCAAGUCGCGUGAGGGAAGACUGCCCUAUGGGUUGUAAACCUCUUUUGUCAGGGAGCAACGCCGGCUACGUGUAGCCGGACUGAGAGUACCUGAAGAAAAAGCAUCGCGUAACUCCGUGCCAGCAGCCGCGGUAAUACGGAGGAUGCGAGCGUUAUCCGGAGUUAUUGGGUUUAAAGGGGGCGUAGGCGGAAUGCCAAGUCAGCGGUAAAAUCGCGGGGCUCAACCUCGCUCCGCCGUUGAAACUGGCGUUCUUGAGGGGGCGAGAAGUAUGCGGAAUGCGUGGUGGAGCGGUGAAAUGCAUAGAUAUCACGCAGAACUCCGAUUGCGAAGGCAGCAUACCGGCGCCCAACUGACGCUGAAGCACGAAAGCGUGGGUAUCGAACAGGAGUAGAUACCCCAGUAGUC